This 253-nucleotide ribosomal RNA is filed under the name uncultured bacterium. Its description in RNAcentral is "partial 16S ribosomal RNA". It matches the Rfam family "Bacterial small subunit ribosomal RNA", at positions 524 to 776 of the family's 1533-position model. The record is from RNAcentral.
UACGAAGGGGGCUAGCGUUGCUCGGAAUUACUGGGCGUAAAGCGCACGUAGGCGGUCUUUUAAGUCGGGGGUGAAAUCCUGGAGCUCAACUCCAGAACUGCCUUCGAUACUGGAAGACUCGAGUCCGGGAGAGGUGAGUGGAACUGCGAGUGUAGAGGUGAAAUGCGUAGAUAUUCGCAAGAACACCAGUGGCGAAGGCGGCUCACUGGCCCGGUACUGACGCUGAGGUGCGAAAGCGUGGGGAGCAAACAGG